Molecule: ribosomal RNA, 200 nt
Filed under: uncultured eukaryote
Lineage: Eukaryota
Description: partial 18S ribosomal RNA
Rfam family: Eukaryotic small subunit ribosomal RNA
Source: RNAcentral
GCUCCAAUAGCGUAUAUUAAAGUUGUUGCGGUUAAAAAGCUCGUAGUUGGAUUUCUGUUGAGGUCGACCGGUGCGCACUCCGUGUGUUAUUUGGUUCGGUCUCGGCAUCCUCGUGGGGAACGUUUCUGGACUUUAUUGGACAGGGCGAGAUUCACGACUUUUUACUUUGAGGAAUUAGAGUGUUCACGGCAGGCAAGUGC